Molecule: ribosomal RNA, 2502 nt
Filed under: Clostridioides difficile
Lineage: Bacteria; Bacillati; Bacillota; Clostridia; Peptostreptococcales; Peptostreptococcaceae
Description: partial 23S ribosomal RNA
Rfam family: Bacterial large subunit ribosomal RNA
Source: RNAcentral
UAUGAUCCAGAGUACCACGGGACACGUGAAACCCUGUGGGAAGCAGGAGGGACCACCCUCCAAGGCUAAAUACUACCUAGUGACCGAUAGCGUAUAGUACCGUGAGGGAAAGGUGAAAAGAACCCCGGGAGGGGAGUGAAAUAGAACCUGAAACCCUGCACUUACAAGCUGUGGAAGCACAUUUCUUGUGUGACCGCGUACUUUUUGUAGAACGGGCCAACGAGUUACGUUAAGUAGCAAGGUUAAGCACUUAAGGUGCGGAGCCGUAGCGAAAGCGAGUUUUAACUGAGCGUUCAGUUACUUGACGUAGACCCGAAACCGGGCGACCUACCCAUGAGCAGGAUGAAGCGAAAGUAAAAUUUCGUGGAGGUCCGAACCCACGAGCGUUGAAAAGCUCGGGGAUGACUUGUGGGUAGCGGUGAAAUUCCAAUCGAGCCCGGAGAUAGCUGGUUCUCCCCGAAAUAGCUUUAGGGCUAGCCUCAAGGUGAGAGAUACGGAGGUAGAGCACUGAAUGUCCUAGGGGGUAUUGCACCUACCGAAGACUAUCAAACUCCGAAUGCCGUCAUCUUAUACUUGGGAGUCAGACUGUGGGUGAUAAGAUUCAUAGUCGAAAGGGCAACAGCCCAGAUCGUCAGCUAAGGUCCCUAAAUGUAAGUUAAGUGGUAAAGGAUGUGGGAUUGCACAGACAACCAGGAUGUUGGCUUAGAAGCAGCCACUCAUUCAAAGAGUGCGUAAUAGCUCACUGGUCGAGUGAUCCUGCGCCGAAGAUUUCCGGGGCUAAAACUUACUACCGAAGCUACGGCAUCAGUAAUGAUGGGUAGGGGAGCUUCCCAUACGGGUUGAAGCAUGACCGUAAGGACAUGUGGACAGUAUGGGAGUGAGAAUGUUGGCAUGAGUAGCGAGAUGUGGGUGAGAAUCCCACAGGCCGUAAACCCAAGGUUUCCAGGGGAAGGUUCGUCCGCCCUGGGUUAGUCGGGACCUAAGCUGAGGCCGAAAGGCGUAGGUGAUGGACAACAGGUUGAUAUUCCUGUACUACCGAUAACCGUUUGAGAGAAGGGAUGACACAGUAGGAUAAGCUAAGCACACUGUUGGUUAUGUGUGCCCAAGCAUUGAGGCAGUCAAAGUAGGCAAAUCCGCUUUGAUAAUGCUGGGAUGUGAUGGGGAGCGAAAUUUAGUAGCGAAGUAGCUGAUUUCACACUGUCAAGAAAAGUCUCUAUCGAGGUUAAAGGUACCCGUACCGCAAACCGACACAGGUGGGUGAGGAGAGUAUCCUAAGGCCAGCGAGAGAACUGUUGUUAAGGAACUCGGCAAAAUGACCCCGUAACUUAGGGAUAAGGGGUGCCACCAUCAGGUGGCCGCAGAGAAUAGGCCCAAGCGACUGUUUACCAAAAACAUAGGUUUCUGCUAAGUCGCAAGACGAUGUAUAGGAGCUGACGCCUGCCCGGUGCUGGAAGGUUAAGGGGAUCUGUUAGAGCAAUCGAAGCAGUGAACUUAAGCCCCAGUAAACGGCGGCCGUAACUAUAACGGUCCUAAGGUAGCGAAAUUCCUUGUCGGGUAAGUUCCGACCCGCACGAAAGGCGUAACGAUUUGGGCACUGUCUCAACAACAGACUCGGUGAAAUUGUAAUUCCGGUGAAGAUGCCGGAUACCUGCGACAGGACGGAAAGACCCCAUGGAGCUUUACUGUAGCUUGACAUUGGGUCUUGGUACUACAUGUACAGGAUAGGUGGGAGGCUUUGAAACCAGGACGCCAGUUUUGGCGGAGCCAUCCUUGGGAUACCACCCUUGUAGUACUGGGACUCUAACCAUAGGCCAUGAAUCUGGUCUUGGGACACUGUCAGGUGGGCAGUUUGACUGGGGCGGUCGCCUCCCAAAAGGUAACGGAGGCGCUCAAAGGUUCUCUCAGUACGGUCGGAAAUCGUACGUAGAGUGUAAAGGCAAAAGAGAGCUUGAUUGCAAGACAUACAGGUCGAGCAAGGAUGAAAAUCGGACUUAGUGAUCCGGUGGUUCUGCGUGGAAGGGCCAUCGCUCAACGGAUAAAAGCUACCCUGGGGAUAACAGGCUUAUCUCCCCCAAGAGUCCACAUCGACGGGGAGGUUUGGCACCUCGAUGUCGGCUCAUCACAUCCUGGGGCUGUAGUAGGUCCCAAGGGUUGGGCUGUUCGCCCAUUAAAGUGGUACGCGAGCUGGGUUCAGAACGUCGUGAGACAGUUCGGUCCCUAUCCGUCGCAGGCGUAGGAAAUUUGAGAAGACCUGUCCUUAGUACGAGAGGACCGGGAUGGACGUACCUCUGGUGUACCAGUUGUCCUGCCAAGGGCAUGGCUGGGUAGCUAUGUACGGAAUGGAUAAGCGCUGAAAGCAUCUAAGCGCGAAGCCAACUUCAAGAUAAGAUUUCCCACCGCAAGGGUAAGACCCCAGAAAGACUAUCUGGUUGAUAGGUCGAAGGUGUAAGUGCAGCAAUGUAUUUAGCUUAUCGAUACUAAUAGGUCGAGGACUUGACCAAU